AUAAUGGGUCAGCGACUUAUAUUCUGUAGCAAGGUUAACCGAAUAGGGGAGCCGAAGGGAAACCGAGUCUUAACUGGGCGUUAAGUUGCAGGGUAUAGACCCGAAACCCGGUGAUCUAGCCAUGGGCAGGUUGAAGGUUGGGUAACACUAACUGGAGGACCGAACCGACUAAUGUUGAAAAAUUAGCGGAUGACUUGUGGCUGGGGGUGAAAGGCCAAUCAAACCGGGAGAUAGCUGGUUCUCCCCGAAAGCUAUUUAGGUAGCGCCUCGUGAAUUCAUCUCCGGGGGUAGAGCACUGUUUCGGCAAGGGGGUCAUCCCGACUUACCAACCCGAUGCAAACUGCGA
Molecule: ribosomal RNA, 346 nt
Filed under: Escherichia coli
Lineage: Bacteria; Pseudomonadati; Pseudomonadota; Gammaproteobacteria; Enterobacterales; Enterobacteriaceae
Description: partial 23S ribosomal RNA
Rfam family: Bacterial large subunit ribosomal RNA
Source: RNAcentral